RNAcentral lists this ribosomal RNA (253 nucleotides) under uncultured bacterium. RNAcentral's name for it is "partial 16S ribosomal RNA". It matches the Rfam family "Bacterial small subunit ribosomal RNA", at positions 524 to 776 of the family's 1533-position model. The record is from RNAcentral.
UACGAAGGGGGCUAGCGCUGUUCGGAAUUACUGGGCGUAAAGCGCACGUAGGCGGAUACUUAAGUUAGGGGUGAAAUCCCAAGGCUCAACCUUGGAACUGCCUUUAAUACUGGGUAUCUCGAGUCCGGAAGAGGUGAGUGGAAUUCCGAGUGUAGAGGUGAAAUUCGUAGAUAUUCGGAGGAACACCAGUGGCGAAGGCGGCUCACUGGACCGGUAUUGACGCUGAGGUGCGAAAGCGUGGGGAGCAAACAGG